Molecule: ribosomal RNA, 202 nt
Filed under: uncultured bacterium
Lineage: Bacteria
Description: partial 16S ribosomal RNA
Rfam family: Bacterial small subunit ribosomal RNA
Source: RNAcentral
UACGUAGGGUGCGAGCGUUAAUCGGAAUUACUGGGCGUAAAGCGUGCGCAGGCGGUUUUGUAAGCCAGAUGUGAAAUCCCCCGGGCUUAACCUGGGAAUGGCAUUUGGGACUGCAAGGCUUGAGUGCGGCAGAGGAGACUGGAAUUCCUGGUGUAGCAGUGAAAUGCGUAGAUAUCUGGAGGAACACCGGUGGCGAAGGCGG